AGGAUUGUAGUUAAAUAUAACAUUUGAUUUGCAUUCAAAAAGUAUUAAUUUUAUUAAUCUAUCUUA
This 66-nucleotide transfer RNA is filed under the name Macroxyela ferruginea. Its description in RNAcentral is "tRNA-Ala". It matches the Rfam family "tRNA". From Rfam's summary of the family: Transfer RNA (tRNA) molecules are approximately 80 nucleotides in length. Their secondary structure includes four short double-helical elements and three loops (D, anti-codon, and T loops). Lineage: Eukaryota; Metazoa; Arthropoda; Insecta; Hymenoptera; Xyelidae. The record is from RNAcentral.